This 554-nucleotide ribosomal RNA is filed under the name uncultured bacterium. Its description in RNAcentral is "partial 16S ribosomal RNA". It matches the Rfam family "Bacterial small subunit ribosomal RNA", at positions 355 to 900 of the family's 1533-position model. The record is from RNAcentral.
UAGGGAAUCUUCCACAAUGGACGCAAGUCUGAUGGAGCAACGCCGCGUGAGUGAAGAAGGUUUUCGGACCGUAAAGCUCUGUUGUUGGUGAAGAAGGAUAGAGGUAGUAACUGGCCUUUAUUUGACGGUAAUCAACCAGAAAGUCACGGCUAACUACGUGCCAGCAGCCGCGGUAAUACGUAGGUGGCAAGCGUUGUCCGGAUUUAUUGGGCGUAAAGCGAGCGCAGGCGGAAGAAUAAGUCUGAUGUGAAAGCCCUCGGCUUAACCGAGGAAUUGCAUCGGAAACUGUUUUCUUGAGUGCAGAAGAGGAGAGUAGAACUCCAUGUGUAGCGGUGGAAUGCGUGGAUAUAUGGAAGAAUACCAGUGGCGAAGGCGGCUCUCUGGUCUGCAACUGACGCUGAGGCUCGAAAGCAUGGGUAGCGAACAGGAUUAGAUACCCUGGUAGUCCAUGCCGUAAACGAUGAGUGCUAAGUGUUGGGAGGCUUCCGCCUCUCAGUGCUGCAGCUAACGCAUUAAGCACUCCGCCUGGGGGAGUACGACCGCAAGGUUGAAAC